This 466-nucleotide ribosomal RNA is filed under the name uncultured bacterium. RNAcentral describes it as "partial 16S ribosomal RNA". It matches the Rfam family "Bacterial small subunit ribosomal RNA", at positions 28 to 507 of the family's 1533-position model. The record is from RNAcentral.
GAUGAACGCUGGCGGCGUGCUUAACACAUGCAAGUCGAACGAUGAAGCCCAGCUUGCUGGGUGGAUUAGUGGCGAACGGGUGAGUAACACGUGAGUAACCUGCCCUUAACUCUGGGAUAGGCCUGGGAAACUGGGUCUAAUACCGGAUAGGAGCGCCUACCGCAUGGUGGGUGUUGGAAAGAUUUAUCGGUUUUGGAUGGACUCGCGGCCUAUCAGCUUGUUGGUGAGGUAAUGGCUCACCAAGGCGACGACGGGUAGCCGGCCUGAGAGGGUGACCGGCCACACUGGGACUGAGACACGGCCCAGACUCCUACGGGAGGCAGCAGUGGGGAAUAUUGCACAAUGGGCGAAAGCCUGAUGCAGCGACGCCGCGUGAGGGAUGACGGCCUUCGGGUUGUAAACCUCUUUCCGUAGGGAAGAAGCGAAAGUGACGGUACCUGCAGAAGAAGCACCGGCUAACUACGUG